ACGCUUAACCGACCGAGCCACCCAGGCAUCCCAACAUGCUGGCCCCUCGAGCUAGGAUAUCUGAGCAUCAAUCAGGUCAAGACCCUGUCUACUAAAUGUCACCUUCCUAUGAGUUUCAGUUCUCAUCUUCCUGCCCUGUGCCCUGAUCCAUGCUCGUUAAAUUCCGAUUUGGUGUCAUUGUU
Molecule: long non-coding RNA, 182 nt
Organism: Callorhinus ursinus (northern fur seal)
Lineage: Eukaryota; Metazoa; Chordata; Mammalia; Carnivora; Otariidae
Source: RefSeq, a predicted model, not a curated record